GUAUAGAACCUACCUUUUACAGAGGAAUAGCCUUUAGAAAUGAAGAUUAAUGCCUCAUAGUAUUGUAGACUGGCAUCAGUUUAUAAUUAAAGAUUUAUCGGUAAAAGAUGGCUAUGCGUCCUAUUAGUUAGUUGGUAAGGUAACGGCUUACCAAGACAGCGAUAGGUAGGGGUCCUGAGAGGGAGAUCCCCCACACUGGUACUGAGACACGGACCAGACUCCUACGGGAGGCAGCAGUGAGGAAUAUUGGACAAUGGAGGAGACUCUGAUCCAGCCAUGCCGCGUGUAGGAAGAAUGCCCUAUGGGUUGUAAACUACUUUUAUACAGGAAGAAACACUGGUAUGUAUACCAGCUUGACGGUACUGU
This 366-nucleotide ribosomal RNA is filed under the name uncultured Polaribacter sp. Its description in RNAcentral is "bacterial SSU rRNA". It matches the Rfam family "Bacterial small subunit ribosomal RNA", at positions 117 to 481 of the family's 1533-position model. Lineage: Bacteria; Pseudomonadati; Bacteroidota; Flavobacteriia; Flavobacteriales; Flavobacteriaceae. The record is from RNAcentral.